GUCUCAGUUCGGAUUGUAGUCUGCAACUCGACUACAUGAAGCUGGAAUCGCUAGUAAUCGCAAAUCAGAAUGUUGCGGUGAAUACGUUCCCGGGUCUUGUACACACCGCCCGUCACACCAUGGGAGUUGGGAAUGCCCGAAGCCGGUGACCUAACCGAAAGGGAGGAGCCGUCGAAGGCAGGCUUGAUAACUGGGGUGAAGUCGUAACAAGGUAAC
This 216-nucleotide ribosomal RNA is filed under the name uncultured bacterium. RNAcentral's name for it is "partial 16S ribosomal RNA". It matches the Rfam family "Bacterial small subunit ribosomal RNA", at positions 1285 to 1500 of the family's 1533-position model. The record is from RNAcentral.